AACGAACGCUGGCGGCAUGCCUAACACAUGCAAGUCGAACGAGACCUUCGGGUCUAGUGGCGCACGGGUGCGUAACGCGUGGGAACCUGCCCUUAGGUUCGGAAUAACUCCCCGAAAGGGGUGCUAAUACCGGAUAAUGUCUUCGGACCAAAGAUUUAUCGCUUUUGGAUGGGCCCGCGUUGGAUUAGCUAGUUGGUAGGGUAAAAGCCUACCAAGGCGACGAUCCAUAGCUGGUCUGAGAGGAUGAUCAGCCACACUGGGACUGAGACACGGCCCAGACUCCUACGGGAGGCAGCAGUGGGGAAUAUUGUACAAUGGGCGAAAGCCUGAUCCAGCAAUGCCGCGUGAGUGAUGAAGGCCUUAGGGUUGUAAAGCUCUUUUACCCGGGAUGAUAAUGACAGUACCGGGAGAAUAAGCUCCGGCUAACUCCGUG
RNAcentral lists this ribosomal RNA (433 nucleotides) under uncultured bacterium. RNAcentral's name for it is "partial 16S ribosomal RNA". It matches the Rfam family "Bacterial small subunit ribosomal RNA", at positions 29 to 507 of the family's 1533-position model. The record is from RNAcentral.